This is a non-coding RNA of Acanthosepion pharaonis, 113 nucleotides long. The record is from the annotation of a GenBank genome assembly. NCBI's taxonomy places the organism in Eukaryota, Metazoa, Mollusca, Cephalopoda, Sepiida, Sepiidae.
UUACGGCCAUAUCACGUUGAAACACCGGUUCUCGUACGACUAGUGAAGUUAAGCAACGUCGAGUCUGGCCAAUAGCAAGAUGGGUAACCACUUCGGAAUACUAUCUACUGUAA